AUUGAACGCUGGCGGCAUGCUUUACACAUGCAAGUCGGACGGCAGCACAGAGAAGCUUGCUUCUUGGGUGGCGAGUGGCGAACGGGUGAGUAAUAUAUCGGAACGUACCGAGUAAUGGGGGAUAACUAAUCGAAAGAUUAGCUAAUACCGCAUAUUCUCUGAGGAGGAAAGCAGGGGACCUUGGGGCCUUGCGUUAUUCGAGCGGCCGAUAUCUGAUUAGCUAGUUGGUGGGGUAAAGGCCUACCAAGGCGACGAUCAGUAGCGGGUCUGAGAGGAUGAUCCGCCACACUGGGACUGAGACACGGCCCAGACUCCUACGGGAGGCAGCAGUGGGGAAUUUUGGACAAUGGGCGCAAGCCUGAUCCAGCCAUGCCGCGUGUCUGAAGAAGGCCUUCGGGUUGUAAAGGACUUUUGUCAGGGAAGAAAAGGCUGUUGCUAAUACCGACAGCUGAUGACGGUACCUGAAGAAUAAGCACCGGCUAACUACGUG
RNAcentral lists this ribosomal RNA (490 nucleotides) under uncultured bacterium. Its description in RNAcentral is "partial 16S ribosomal RNA". It matches the Rfam family "Bacterial small subunit ribosomal RNA", at positions 30 to 507 of the family's 1533-position model. The record is from RNAcentral.